AGGUACCACGCGUCCACUGCGGUUCUGAGCGCGCUGUCCGCGCCCACCUGACAGCUGCUCNUGUGUUAGCC
This 71-nucleotide small RNA is filed under the name Xanthomonas oryzae pv. oryzae. RNAcentral's name for it is "sX9". It matches the Rfam family "Xanthomonas sRNA sX9". The record is from RNAcentral. Lineage: Bacteria; Pseudomonadati; Pseudomonadota; Gammaproteobacteria; Lysobacterales; Lysobacteraceae.